RNAcentral lists this non-coding RNA (18 nucleotides) under Arabidopsis thaliana (thale cress). RNAcentral also lists the same sequence under 1 other name. Lineage: Eukaryota; Viridiplantae; Streptophyta; Magnoliopsida; Brassicales; Brassicaceae. The record is from RNAcentral.
GUAGCUGGUUCCCUCCGA